GACGAACGCUGGCGGCGUGCUUAACACAUGCAAGUCGAACGGUGAAGCGCCUUCCUUUUUGGUGGGUGUGGAUGAGUGGCGAACGGGUGAGUAACACGUGAGUAACCUGCCCCCUUCUUCUGGAUAACCGCAUGAAAGUGUGGCUAAUACGGGAUAUUCUGGGUCUGUCGCAUGAUGGGUCUGGGAAAGAUAUUGUUUUGGUGGGGGAUGGGCUCGCGGCCUAUCAGCUUGUUGGUGGGGUGAUGGCCUACCAAGGCGGUGACGGGUAGCCGGCCUGGGAGGGUGGACGGUCACACUGGGACUGAGACACGGCCGAGACUCGUACGGGAGGCAGCAGUGGGGAAUAUUGCACAAUGGGCGCAAGCCUGAUGCAGCGACGCCGCGUGAGGGAUGGAGGCCUUCGGGUUGUGAACCUCUUUCGCCAGUGAAGCAGGCCUGCCUCGUUUGUGGGUGGGUUGACGGUAGCUGGAUAAGAAGCGCCGGCUAACUACGUG
Molecule: ribosomal RNA, 494 nt
Filed under: uncultured bacterium
Lineage: Bacteria
Description: partial 16S ribosomal RNA
Rfam family: Bacterial small subunit ribosomal RNA
Source: RNAcentral